ACAAAAGACCCCUGAACGCACCUGCGAUCUAUGACGUCGUUCCAAAGCCGUAAUUAGUUUCAGGUGUGGCUGCUUAUCACGUCAAGUGACCCCAAAACUCUACAAAUGACAAGAUCACAUGGACCACGAGGACCAUCGACAGAGAUGAGGGAUCCUACACCUUAUCGCACAUCUGGUAUGCGGUCCUCUGCAAGGCGCCAGAAAGCGGGAGGCCUGGAUAAAAACAGCUGACAAGACAUGUCACGGCAACAUCAUGUGACCCUUUUGAGGAAGUAGCAGAAAAAUGUCAAGUAACGCUUGACCUUGUCAUCAUCAUCCUCCGGAUUGGGCGGAAGUGCACCAAAAUGCAACGUUUUCUUUGACUUGUAUUCAUUUUCUUUCUUUCUAAUUACAAAUACAGCAGCUCAAAGGCUUAAUUAAGUAGGUUCAGGUGCAAAUUAAAAUACUCCCCUAAAUCAGUUUCCUGGGUGAAUGAGAGCGCAUGAUAGCUUUUGCAUGAAUAGAGUCUUCUGGGACGACUUUUACUCAGUGAUGUCA
This is a long non-coding RNA of Nerophis ophidion (straightnose pipefish), 537 nucleotides long. RefSeq lists it as uncharacterized. NCBI's taxonomy places the organism in Eukaryota, Metazoa, Chordata, Actinopteri, Syngnathiformes, Syngnathidae. The transcript has 3 exons. The record is from RefSeq and is a predicted model, not a curated record.